GCGCGAAAACUUUACAAUGCUGGCAACAGCGAUAAGGGAACCUCGCGUGCCAGGUUACAAAUCUGGCUGUCGAGAUGCCUAAAAAGCAUUUCAUAGCAAGGGCCGGGCAAGACCGGUGCCAGCCGCCGCGGUAACACCGGCGGCUCGAGUGGUAACCGUUAUUAUUGGGUCUAAAGGGUCUGUAGCCGGCCGGAUAAGUCUCUUGAGAAAUCUGGCAGCUUAACUGUCAGGCUUUCAGGAGAUACUGUCUGGCUCGAGGCCGGGAGAGGUGAGAGGUACUUCAGGGGUAGGGGUGAAAUCUUGUAAUCCUAGAAGGACCAACAGUGGCGAAGGCGUCUGAACAGAAAGGACCUGACGGCAAGGGACGAAAGCUAGGGGCACGAACC
Molecule: ribosomal RNA, 386 nt
Filed under: uncultured prokaryote
Description: bacterial SSU rRNA
Rfam family: Archaeal small subunit ribosomal RNA
Source: RNAcentral